This 395-nucleotide transfer-messenger RNA is filed under the name Flavobacteriaceae. RNAcentral's name for it is "PRS1 sp003650305 Standard tmRNA". It matches the Rfam family "transfer-messenger RNA". Rfam says of the family: Bacterial tmRNA, also known as 10Sa RNA or SsrA, is named for its dual tRNA and mRNA-like properties. Its role is to liberate the mRNA from a stalled ribosome. RNAcentral also lists the same sequence under 1 other name. Lineage: Bacteria; Pseudomonadati; Bacteroidota; Flavobacteriia; Flavobacteriales. The record is from RNAcentral.
GGGGUCGACUGGUUUUGACAGCGAGUUGUAUUAAACUGUAAGCACGUCGCGUAACGACAUUGACACGCGUAAAAGGCUAUGUCAAAUUUUAAACGGCGAGAAUAACUACGCUUUAGCUGCAUAAUCUGAAUUAUAGUAAGAUUAGCUUCAUUCCUACUAGGUAGGAAAGCUUUAUGUCUCCUGAAAGCCUUAAUUAACGGCGUUCAAUUUUGAGAUAUCGUAAAAGUUAAUUUAGAAAGUAAACUGCUUUGAUUUGCUUUUGAAACUUAAGAAGCUAAGUUAUGAGUGGAUUGUUUUUAAUCAGCUUAUAAUCGAAAAUUAAUUAAAAACUAAACGUGUAGAAAGCUCUUUGGUAGCUUGUUUGGACGAGGGUUCGAUUCCCUCCGACUCCACCU